CAACAGCUCACUGUCCAACCUGGGCGUCGUUAUCGCCGCUCUGGCCAAAAAGGAGACUUGCGUAGCUUACAGGAACUCGAAGCUCACGUACCUCCUGCAGGGAUGUUUGGGGGGGAAACGGCAAAACCUUGAUGUUUGUUAACAUUGCUCCGGAGCCCGACAGCUUUGGGGAAACUCUGAACUCAUUGAGGUUUGCCAGCAAGGUCAGUGCAGUCUUGUUUCCAGUGUUCAUUGGACAGAGUACAUUAAUGAUGUCCUUACAUCAGCUGUUUAUGGUAAACCAAAGCCAUACUCCAUAUCCAUUUUAAUACCUUGGUGUGUAAUUCAUACUCACAUUUUGUCUGAAGAGUAGGGAUGUUCCUGGCGUCUUAUUUACUAGUCGACUAAUCGAGGGGGAAAUAAUUAGACUAACCAACUAAUGUAAAACUAAGGAACAUUCAGAUAUUGAGUUGAUUUUCAGAACUGAUUAAUAGAAACUGUCAAACUAGACGCAGAGGUAUCUUAAACCAUUUAUCACAUUCUGUUAAAUACAAAUGAAAAUGCAUUACUACA
Non-coding RNA from Maylandia zebra (zebra mbuna), 552 nucleotides. NCBI's taxonomy places the organism in Eukaryota, Metazoa, Chordata, Actinopteri, Cichliformes, Cichlidae. The record is from RefSeq and is a predicted model, not a curated record.